GACGAACGCUGGCGGCGUGCUUAACACAUGCAAGUCGAACGGAAAGGCCUCAGCUUGCUGGGGUACUCGAGUGGCGAACGGGUGAGUAACACGUGGGUGAUCUGCCUUGCACUCUGGGAUAAGCUUGGGAAACUGGGUCUAAUACCGGAUAUGAACUGCCUUUAGUGUGGUGGUUGGAAAGUUUUUUCGGCGCAAGAUGAGCUCGCGGCCUAUCAGCUUGUUGGUGGGGUAAUGGCCUACCAAGGCGUCGACGGGUAGCCGGCCUGAGAGGGUGUACGGCCACAUUGGGACUGAGAUACGGCCCAGACUCCUACGGGAGGCAGCAGUGGGGAAUAUUGCACAAUGGCGGAAGCCUGAUGCAGCGACGCCGCGUGGGGGAUGACGGCCUUCGGGUUGUAAACUCCUUUCGACAGGGACGAAGCUUUUUGUGACGGUACCUGUAUAAGAAGCACCGGCUAACUACGUG
RNAcentral lists this ribosomal RNA (466 nucleotides) under uncultured bacterium. RNAcentral describes it as "partial 16S ribosomal RNA". It matches the Rfam family "Bacterial small subunit ribosomal RNA", at positions 28 to 507 of the family's 1533-position model. The record is from RNAcentral.